Molecule: long non-coding RNA, 415 nt
Organism: Homo sapiens (human)
Lineage: Eukaryota; Metazoa; Chordata; Mammalia; Primates; Hominidae
Exons: 4
Source: RefSeq, a predicted model, not a curated record
GAUUCUCCUGCUCCAGGCUCUCAAGUAGCUGAGAUUACAGACUAACGAUCUUCUGUUGGUCCCUUCUGGUAGGGCCGAGGAGACCCCAGCAUCACGAAUUAAUUUGGGAUUACAGCCAAGCAAGUUUAAUGUUUCGAAAUAUCAUACACAAUGCAGCUGAGCGCCAAUUUUAUUCCCUGGGUUAGUACUAAUCAGCAAAAUGUACGUAAGGGCCUCAAGAACAGACUGCCCUGAACGUUCCUGUGUGUUGCUCCAGGUACCACCUACUCAUCCUCCAAUAUCCAGCUGGCACCUCCUCUGGGAAGACUUCCUGGAUAUUUCAGGUUGAUUUAGCAGCAUGCUAUGUGUAUCACACUGAAAUGGCCUACAUCCAGAAGCUGACACAUGGUAAAGAAUUAAAAGUUUCUUGAAAGAA